This 407-nucleotide long non-coding RNA is filed under the name Brassica napus (rape). Its description in RNAcentral is "long non-coding RNA (BNAP_LNC020218)". The record is from RNAcentral. Lineage: Eukaryota; Viridiplantae; Streptophyta; Magnoliopsida; Brassicales; Brassicaceae.
UUUAUUUAUUCACAACUAAAAAAUAUUUUAUUAUUUUUUACUAUUUUCUAUUAUUUUAUUACAAAUUAUAAAUUUAUUUGACUAUUAAAAGUUAUAGAAUAACUAAACUAAAAAACACUAGAAUACGACGAACAAUCUAAACCUAACUCCGCAUCACAAAGAAAAUGCAAAAUACUAUAGUACCACUAACUCAAUAAAGGUCUAGAACACAAAUAAACGCGAUCAAGCACCUAUCCAAAAAUCCAAAAAAAAAACAGAUUAAAGGAAGAAUAAUCAACGGAAGACCAAAGUCACCGCGAAACAGGAAAACACAUACCUAAAGCACAACCACCAGCUAAGAAGCACCUCACAAACAAAACAACCACAUACAAGGCGCUCAUGCCAAUGAAGAAUCACAAAGCUCUGAG